UUGCCGCGCACCCCUGACUUG
Molecule: non-coding RNA, 21 nt
Filed under: Caenorhabditis elegans
Lineage: Eukaryota; Metazoa; Nematoda; Chromadorea; Rhabditida; Rhabditidae
Source: RNAcentral